Molecule: long non-coding RNA, 374 nt
Organism: Erigeron canadensis
Lineage: Eukaryota; Viridiplantae; Streptophyta; Magnoliopsida; Asterales; Asteraceae
Exons: 3
Source: RefSeq, a predicted model, not a curated record
UUUCAUUAUCUUUUAAACUUUAUUUACAAAAAAAUAAAUGUAAAUGUAAAUAUAUUUAAACAAAUAUAAAUAGCAAGCAAGAAGUAAUACAAGUAGCGGAGUUAUUGAGAGUGCCCAUCAUCAUCACCAUCCAUUAUCGGCAAAACAAUACCCUUUCUUUCUUUCUUCACACUUCUUUUUUAGUGAUUUUAAUUUUAUCAUUUUUAAUAAAACCCACUUUAAUUAUCUAUUCAUAUUCAAUAAUUUCAAACGCCCAAUUCUUCUUGAAGCUCACUUUGUCUCUAGAGAAAUUUAGUUGAGGAUCUUGGAAGAACAUCUCGUCUAUCCUCUUUUUUUCGAGAUUUUCGCCUUAUAUAAGGUUGCCAACAACAUGG